Molecule: unclassified non-coding RNA, 358 nt
Filed under: soil metagenome
Description: partial contains 5.8S ribosomal RNA, internal transcribed spacer 2, and large subunit ribosomal RNA
Rfam family: 5.8S ribosomal RNA (bases 1-120)
Source: RNAcentral
GAUGAAGAACGUAGCGAAAUGCGAUAAGUAAUGUGAAUUGCAGAAUUCAGUGAAUCAUCGAAUCUUUGAACGCACAUUGCGCCCGCCAGUAUUCUGGCGGGCAUGCCUGUCCGAGCGUCAUUUCAACCCUCGAACCCCUCCGGGGGGUCGGCGUUGGGGACCUCGGGAGCCCCUAAGACGGGAUCCCGGCCCCGAAAUACAGUGGCGGUCUCGCCGCAGCCUCUCCUGCGCAGUAGUUUGCACAACUCGCACCGGGAGCGCGGCGCGUCCACGUCCGUAAAACACCCAACUUCUGAAAUGUUGACCUCGGAUCAGGUAGGAAUACCCGCUGAACUUAAGUAUAUCAAUAAGCGGAGGA